Molecule: ribosomal RNA, 223 nt
Filed under: uncultured bacterium
Lineage: Bacteria
Description: partial 16S ribosomal RNA
Rfam family: Bacterial small subunit ribosomal RNA
Source: RNAcentral
UACGUAGGGUGCAAGCGUUAAUCGGAAUUACUGGGCGUAAAGCGUGCGCAGGCGGCUAUGCAAGACAGAUGUGAAAUCCCCGGGCUCAACCUGGGAACUGCAUUUGUGACUGCAUAGCUAGAGUACGGUAGAGGGGAUGGAAUUCCGCGUGUAGCAGUGAAAUGCGUAGAUAUGCGGAGGAACACCGAUGGACGAAGGCAAUCCCUGGACCUGUACUGACGCU